This 337-nucleotide unclassified non-coding RNA is filed under the name soil metagenome. Its description in RNAcentral is "partial contains 5.8S ribosomal RNA, internal transcribed spacer 2, and large subunit ribosomal RNA". The stretch from base 1 to 121 matches the Rfam family "5.8S ribosomal RNA", at positions 35 to 154 of the family's 154-position model. The record is from RNAcentral.
GAUGAAGAACGCAGCGAAAUGCGAUAAGUAAUGCGAAUUGCAGAAUUUCCGUGAGUCAUCGAAUCUUUGAACGCACAUUGCGCCCGCCAGUAUUCUGGCGGGCAUGCCUGUUCGAGCGUCAUUUCAACCAUCAAGCCCCUGGCUUGUGUUGGGGACCUGCGGCUGCCGCAGGCCCUGAAAACCAGUGGCGGGCUCGCUGUCACACCGGGCGUAGUAGAUUAUAUCUCGCUCAGGGCGUGCUGCGGGUUCCGGCCGUUAAAAAGCCUUAUUUACCCAAGGUUGACCUCGGAUCAGGUAGGAAUACCCGCUGAACUUAAGCAUAUCAAUAAGCGGAGGA